UAAGGAAUAUUGGACAAUGGGCGAAAGCCUGAUCCAGCAAUACCGCGUGAAUGAUGAAGGCCUUAGGGUUGUAAAGUUCUUUUAGUAGGGAAGAUAAUGACGGUACCUACAGAAAAAGCCCCGGCUAACUCCGUGCCAGCAGCCGCGGUAAGACGGAGGGGGCUAGCGUUGUUCGGAAUUACUGGGCGUAAAGGGCGCGUAGGCGGAUUAGUAAGUUGGGAGUGAAAGCCCGGGGCUCAACCUCGGAACUGCUUUCAAAACUGCUAGUCUAGAGUGAAGUAGGGGGUGAUGGAAUUCCUAGUGUAGAGGUGAAAUUCUUAGAUAUUAGGAGGAACACCGGUGGCGAAGGCGGUCACCUGGACUUCAACUGACGCUGAGGCGCGAAAGCGUGGGGAGCAAACAGG
Molecule: ribosomal RNA, 404 nt
Filed under: uncultured bacterium
Lineage: Bacteria
Description: bacterial SSU rRNA
Rfam family: Bacterial small subunit ribosomal RNA
Source: RNAcentral